CGCGGAGGAGGAGCUACACAUGCAAGUCGAGCGGUAGCACAGAGAGCUUGCUCUCGGGUGACGAGCGGCGGACGGGUGAGUAAUGUCUGGGAAACUGCCUGAUGGAGGGGGAUAACUACUGGAAACGGUAGCUAAUACCGCAUAACGUCGCAAGACCAAAGAGGGGGACCUUCGGGCCUCUUGCCAUCAGAUGUGCCCAGAUGGGAUUAGCUAGUAGGUGGGGUAACGGCUCACCUAGGCGACGAUCCCUAGCUGGUCUGAGAGGAUGACCAGCCACACUGGAACUGAGACACGGUCCAGACUCCUACGGGAGGCAGCAGUGGGGAAUAUUGCACAAUGGGCGCAAGCCUGAUGCAGCCAUGCCGCGUGUAUGAAGAAGGCCUUCGGGUUGUAAAGUACUUUCAGCGGGGAGGAAGGUGUUGAGGUUAAUAACCUCAGCAAUUGACGUUACCCGCAGAAGAAGCACCGGCUAACUCCGUGCCAGCAGCCGCGGUAAUACGGAGGGUGCAAGCGUUAAUCGGAAUUACUGGGCGUAAAGCGCACGCAGGCGGUCUGUCAAGUCGGAUGUGAAAUCCCCGGGCUCAACCUGGGAACUGCAUUCGAAACUGGCAGGCUAGAGUCUUGUAGAGGGGGGUAGAAUUCCAGGUGUAGCGGUGAAAUGCGUAGAGAUCUGGAGGAAUACCGGUGGCGAAGGCGGCCCCCUGGACAAAGACUGACGCUCAGGUGCGAAAGCGUGGGGAGCAAACAGGAUUAGAUACCCUGGUAGUCCACGCCGUAACGAUGUCGAUUUGGAGGUUGUUCCCUUGAGGAGUGGCUUCCGGAGCUAACGCGUUAAAUCGACCGCCUGGGGAGUACGGCCGCAAGGUUAAAACUCAAAUGAAUUGACGGGGGCCCGCACAAGCGGUGGAGCAUGUGGUUUAAUUCGAUGCAACGCGAAGAACCUUACCUACUCUUGACAUCCAGAGAACUUAGCAGAGAUGCUUUGGUGCCUUCGGGAACUCUGAGACAGGUGCUGCAUGGCUGUCGUCAGCUCGUGUUGUGAAAUGUUGGGUUAAGUCCCGCAACGAGCGCAACCCUUAUCCUUUGUUGCCAGCGGUCCGGCCGGCAACUCAAGGGAGACUGCCAGUGAUCAACCUGGAGGAAAGUGGGGAUUGAACGU
This 1159-nucleotide ribosomal RNA is filed under the name Enterobacter asburiae. RNAcentral's name for it is "bacterial SSU rRNA". It matches the Rfam family "Bacterial small subunit ribosomal RNA", at positions 38 to 1185 of the family's 1533-position model. Lineage: Bacteria; Pseudomonadati; Pseudomonadota; Gammaproteobacteria; Enterobacterales; Enterobacteriaceae. The record is from RNAcentral.